AUGCCAGUGCCUACUCUUCGUGUUGUCCUAUCAAUGUCUCAGCUUUUGUGGAAAUAUAGUCCAACAAGGGAAACACAGCCUGCUAUGACAGGGAGUCUUAGUGAAGAAACUAUAGAUGUUAACUAUGAAGAGUCCAAGAAAACUGGGAAGAUUCAUCUUUGCUCUAGGGCCAAUUUUUAGAUGAAGCAAAACCAUUUCCUUUCACUACUCUUGCUGGCAAAAAAAGAAAGAAAAUACAGCUCAAAACAAAGUAUUCACCAAGGCA
RNAcentral lists this long non-coding RNA (265 nucleotides) under Fukomys damarensis (Damara mole-rat). RNAcentral's name for it is "lncRNA (ENSFDAG00000029851.1)". Lineage: Eukaryota; Metazoa; Chordata; Mammalia; Rodentia; Bathyergidae. The record is from RNAcentral.